CUGACGUAUGGUUGUAUCCUUUCCUGGUCAUCCCCAGUAGAGUUGAUUUACCUCUCCGUUGGUCUUGGUAAACGUUGAGUUUUUCCUAGUUGUCCGUUGGCAUCUAGUUGAGAUUUCGGAUCCUGGUCAUUAUCGUCCGAUUGUCUGGAUGUGCUUGUGCUUUUGAAGAGAAGACAGAAGAAUAAAAAAAAACAAAAGAAAGAAAAACAACAAAAUUUCCCAGCAGUGUGCAAAUUUCUACGGUUCUUGGUAUUCAAUCCCUGUUUACCCUGAAAGUCUGACAGCCGUUGCUCU
This 294-nucleotide long non-coding RNA is filed under the name Lathyrus oleraceus (garden pea). RNAcentral's name for it is "Pisum sativum (pea) long non-coding RNA (PSAT_LNC041471)". The record is from RNAcentral. Lineage: Eukaryota; Viridiplantae; Streptophyta; Magnoliopsida; Fabales; Fabaceae.